RNAcentral lists this long non-coding RNA (333 nucleotides) under Salvia miltiorrhiza (redroot sage). Its description in RNAcentral is "long non-coding RNA (SMIL_LNC009507)". The record is from RNAcentral. Lineage: Eukaryota; Viridiplantae; Streptophyta; Magnoliopsida; Lamiales; Lamiaceae.
GUGGCCUAUUAAAUUGAACGGAGGGAGUAUUUGUUUUUUUUUUUUUUUUUUGGUUCAUUGAUGGGCGUCUGAUUGAUGCAAAGCUAAGAAGGAAUAGUUAACUGGUACAAUGAUUCUUCAAGACAUCCAAGAUGAACGCCGCCACUGCUAGGGUUUGGACUCAGUUCUUUUUUGGUCUUUGAUCGUCGUGGUUUGUCGUCGGUUCUCGCUUGCUGCCGGUGGCUAUGGCAGCCUCUUCCUCUUCUCACAAUCAUAACUCUCAUCGCGAAUUUACUCCACUCCAUGCUUUUCAAGGACCGCGUUUUCAUGAGCCGUCUACGGAUGAUAAACAGG